Molecule: ribosomal RNA, 1365 nt
Filed under: metagenome
Description: bacterial SSU rRNA
Rfam family: Bacterial small subunit ribosomal RNA
Source: RNAcentral
CGGCAGACGGGUGAGUAACACGUGGGUGACCUGCCCUCAAGACGGGGAUAACUGAUGGAAACAGCAGCUAAUACCCGAUGCCCUUACCGUGUCGAAGUGGUAAGGAAAGCUCCGGUGCUUGAGGAGGGGCUCGCGGCCCAUCAGCUAGUUGGUGAGGUAAUGGCUCACCAAGGCGAAGACGGGUAGGGGGUGUGAGAGCAUGACCCCCCACAAUGGGACUGAGAUACGGCCCAUACUUCUACGGAAGGCAGCAGCAGGGAAUCUUGCCCAAUGGACGUAAGUCUGAGGCAGUGACGCCGCGUGAGUGAUGACGGCCUUCGGGUUGUAAAACUCUUUUUGAGGGGAAGAGCGAGGACGGUACCCUCAGGAUAAGCGUCGGCUAACUACGUGCCAGCAGCCGCGGUAAGACGUAGGACGCAAGCGUUAUCCGGAUUUACUGGGCGUAAAGCGUCUGUAGGCGGACAGGUAAGUUGAACGUGAAAGCUCCGUGCUCAACGCGGAGAGGCCGUACAAUACUGCCUGACUAGAGGAGGUCAGAGGGGAGUGGAAUUUCCGGUGUAGCGGUAAAAUGCGCAGAUAUCGGAAGGAACACCAGUGGCGAAGGCGGCUCCCUGGGGCCCACCUGACGCUGAGAGACGAAAGCUAGGGGAGCGAACAGGAUUAGAGACCCUGGUAGUCCUAGCCCUAAACGCUGAAUGCUAGGUGUGGGGACGUAAAGUUUCCGUGCCGGAGCUAACGCGAUAGCAUUCCGCCUGGGGAGUACGACCGCAAGGUUAAAACUCAAACGAAUUGACGGGACCCCGCACAAGCAGCGGAGCGUGUGGUUUAAUUCGAUGCUACACGAAGAACCUUACCUGGGUUUGACAUACAAGUGGUAGGAAGCCGAAAGGUGACUGACCCUUCGGGGAGCUUGUACAGGUGCCGCAUGGCUGUCGUCAGCUCGCCGUGAGGUGUCGGGUUAAGUCCCGUAACGAGCGCAACCCUUGCCCUUAGUUACAAGUGUCUAAGGGGACUGCCGGCGGGAAGCCGGAGGAAGGUGGGGAUGACGUCAAGUCAGCAUGGCCCUUAUGUCCAGGGCUACACACACGCUACAAUGGGCGGUACAGAGGGCAGCGAAGCCGCGAGGUGAAGCGAAUCCCACAAAGCCGUUCGUAGUUCGGAUAGCAGGCUGCAACUCGCCUGCUUGAAGCUGGAGUUGCUAGUAACCGCGCGUCAGCUAUAGUGCGGUGAAUACGUUCCCGGGGUUUGUACACACCGCCCGUCACGUCAUGGGAGUUGGUAACGCCUGAAGCCGAUAGCUUAACUCGCAAGAGGGGGCGUCGUCGAGGGCGGGACUGGCAACUGGGACGAAGUCGUAACAAGGUA